GACGAACGCUGGCGGCGUGCUUAACACAUGCAAGUCGAACGGAAAGGCCCUGCUUUUGUGGGGUGCUCGAGUGGCGAACGGGUGAGUAACACGUGAGUAACCUGCCCUUGACUUUGGGAUAACUUCAGGAAACUGGGGCUAAUACCGGAUAGGAGCUCCUGCUGCAUGGUGUGGGUUGGAAAGUUUCGGCGGUUGGGGAUGGACUCGCGGCUUAUCAGCUUGUUGGUGGGGUAGUGGCUUACCAAGGUUUUGACGGGUAGCCGGCCUGCGAGGGUGACCGGCGACAAUGGGACUGCGAUACGGCCCAGAAUCCUACGUGAGGCAGCAGUGGGGAAUAUUGCACAAUGGGCGGAAGCCUGAUGCAGCAACGCCGCGUGCGGGAUGACGGCCUUCGGGUUGUAAACCGCUUUCGCCUGUGACGAAGCGUGAGUGACGGUAAUGGGUAAAGAAGCACCGGCUAACUACGUG
Molecule: ribosomal RNA, 468 nt
Filed under: uncultured bacterium
Lineage: Bacteria
Description: partial 16S ribosomal RNA
Rfam family: Bacterial small subunit ribosomal RNA
Source: RNAcentral